GAAUAUUGGACAAUGGGGGGAACCCUGAUCCAGCCAUGCCGCGUGUGUGAAGAGGGCCUUUUGGUUGUAAAGCACUUUAAGCGAGGAGGAGGCUACUCUAGUUAAUACCUAGAGAUAGUGGACGUCACUCGCAGACAAAGCAACGGCUAACGCGGUGCAAGCAGCCGCGGUAAUACAGAGGGUGCAAGCGUUAAUCGGAUUUACUGGGCGUAAAGCGCGCGUAGGUGGCCAAUUAAGUCAAAUGUGAAAUCCCCGAGCUUAACUUGGGAAUUGCAUUCGAUACCGGUUGGCUAGAGUAUGGGAGAGGAUGGUAGAAUUCCAGGUGUAGCGGUGAAAUGCGUAGAGAUCUGGAGGAAUACCGAUGGCGAAGGCAGCCAUCUGGCCUAAUACUGACACUGAGGUGCGAAAGCAUGGGGAGCAAACA
Molecule: ribosomal RNA, 424 nt
Filed under: uncultured bacterium
Lineage: Bacteria
Description: bacterial SSU rRNA
Rfam family: Bacterial small subunit ribosomal RNA
Source: RNAcentral